Molecule: non-coding RNA, 27 nt
Filed under: Rattus norvegicus (Norway rat)
Lineage: Eukaryota; Metazoa; Chordata; Mammalia; Rodentia; Muridae
Source: RNAcentral
UGAAAAGGAUGGUCACUUCCUUCCGGU